Molecule: non-coding RNA, 75 nt
Organism: Onychostoma macrolepis
Lineage: Eukaryota; Metazoa; Chordata; Actinopteri; Cypriniformes; Cyprinidae
Source: the annotation of a RefSeq genome assembly
GCUUUCCUGUAGCUCAAAUAGUAGAGCAUGGCGCUAACAACGCCAAGAUCAUGGGUUCGAUUCCCAGGGAAAGCA